RNAcentral lists this ribosomal RNA (492 nucleotides) under uncultured bacterium. Its description in RNAcentral is "partial 16S ribosomal RNA". It matches the Rfam family "Bacterial small subunit ribosomal RNA", at positions 29 to 507 of the family's 1533-position model. The record is from RNAcentral.
AGUGAACGCUGGCGGUAGGCCUAACACAUGCAAGUCGAACGGCAGCACAGUAAGAGCUUGCUCUUACGGGUGGCGAGUGGCGGACGGGUGAGGAAUACAUCGGAAUCUACUUUUUCGUGGGGGAUAACGUAGGGAAACUUACGCCAAUACCGCAUACGACCUACGGGUGAAAUCAGCGGAUCUUCGGACCUUGCGCGAUCCAAUGAGCCGAUGUCGGAUUAGCUAGUUGGCGGGGUAAAGGCCCACCAAGGCGACGAUCCGUAGCUGGUCUGAGAGGAUGAUCAGCCACACUGGAACUGAGACACGGUCCAGACUCCUACGGGAGGCAGCAGUGGGGAAUAUUGGACAAAGGGCGCAAGCCUGAUCCAGCCAUACCGCGUGGGUGAAGAAGGCCUUCGGGUUGUAAAGCCCUUUUGUUGGGAAAGAAAAGCAGCAGGUUAAUACCCCGCUGUUCUGACGGUACCCAAAGAAUAAGCACCGGCUAACUUCGUG